UCGAGCGUCAUUACAACCCUCAAGCUCUGCUUGGUAUUAGGCCUCACCAUCUUAGUGGGCUUUAAAAAUAUUGGCGGUGCUUAUCGGCUUCAAGCUUAGUAAAUUUUCUGGCUUUGGAGAAUCGGUUAUGUGCCUGCCAGCAAGCACAAUUUUUUUAAAAGGUUGACCUCGGAUCAGGUAGGGAUACCCGCUGAACUUAA
RNAcentral lists this unclassified non-coding RNA (200 nucleotides) under soil metagenome. RNAcentral describes it as "partial contains internal transcribed spacer 2 and large subunit ribosomal RNA". The record is from RNAcentral.